UGCCACCUUUUUUAUUUUUAUAUUUUAUUUUUAAUAUGUUAAUCGAUUAGCAAGAAGACAACUAGAAUCUUAAUAUCUUGAUGGAUAUAGCCUACCAUUGUUGGACAAGAAUAUAUAUAUAUAUAUAUAUAUAUAUAUGAAGAAUAGCUUCUUUAAAUGGUCGACAAGGAAAUAUCCUAUCAUGUGCCCUUGGAUGGUAUAAGACAUAGACAGAAAACACAUAGAGACCCACCGGGAUGUGUGCUAGUGAAAGUGUACAUUAAAGACAGGAAUGCUUGCUGGUCUUGUUUUUUGCUUUUUUGGCUUUCAAGUAAAAGCAGACCAGGAUGUUGAAUAUUCAGAUAUAUAUAUAUAUAUAUAUAUAUAGACAUGGUUACAUGCGUGUUCAAACACCGAUUUCGCCGUCCGUCCGUCAGUUGAUUCACGCCAGGUGUGAAUCAGGAGGCAGAGAUUCUUAUGCUCAGAGCUUUUUGAUUCUUCCAUAUCUGAGUUGGUGGUUACACAAAAGUAUGUGAAGAAAACCUCAAGAUUUGACAGGGUAUCAAAAUGCAAAGCUAUUUAACAUGCUAGAGGCCUUUCUACUUGUUAAUCAUUCAGUGACUGCUAAAGCCUAUCUAUUCAGCAAUAUUUCCAUUCCUAGAAAUAUGUCGGUUUUCCAAUGGAAACAGUUAUUAUUUCUUUAUUCAUUGUGGAUGAAUGAAAGGCUUCCCACA
This is a long non-coding RNA of Ziziphus jujuba (common jujube), 713 nucleotides long. RefSeq lists it as uncharacterized. The transcript has 2 exons. Lineage: Eukaryota; Viridiplantae; Streptophyta; Magnoliopsida; Rosales; Rhamnaceae. The record is from RefSeq and is a predicted model, not a curated record.